This 886-nucleotide long non-coding RNA is filed under the name Phasianus colchicus (ring-necked pheasant). Its description in RNAcentral is "lncRNA (ENSPCLG00000003367.1)". The record is from RNAcentral. Lineage: Eukaryota; Metazoa; Chordata; Aves; Galliformes; Phasianidae.
CUAAAUUUUUCUAUGCAGAGCCAUCAUUCUGGUGUCCUCUGCCAAAAAUCCUACGAAGGAACAACAUUCAGGCAUUUUACUCCAUGGUGAAGCCAAGCAGAGUUGCUAUGGAGCUCUGAUCUGCAGCUUUACGGUUGUACUUUUAUUGCGGAGGGCCCAAAACGCUGUGAAAAACUGCAGCAGGACAACUAAAACACUGACCCUCUCUUCUGUUUCAUUGUGGUAUGUUUAUUGGAGGAUUACUGGGAGUUUUUCCAGUCCUGUCAGAGGAGACUGCUGGCAGAGUUGACCUUAAAAGAGACAUGGACCUAUUUUUCAAAGUGUUCUGUAUGUGUGCAGCUGUCAAACAACCUGGGACACAACAGCCAAUCUUCUGAUUUACACACUGUGGACAGAAGAAAAGACUUGGCAAGUCAAAUAUUGCCCCAAUUAUUGUCUUCCAUUCUACCUGAAAAACUGCUGGGGGAAAUGAGACAACUGGGGACACUGCUACUGAGAAGGCAUGUGCCCAAGGGAGGGAAUUGCAGUGGAGUUGUGGUACUGACCUUGGGGGCUGUGUAUGUAAUAUUCCAAGAGGAUGGGAUGACAGAAAUUCCUGGUAGAGGUCAGAAUGGCCGUGCAGAGAUGUCAGAACAAGUAGAUAAUGACAUGCAUUUCAGCAGUAAUGAAAUCCAUUUUGGAAACAAAACAAAACCAAGGUGGAUGAUAUGGCUGUGUUCAACUUGCAUGUAAAAAGGCAUCUGGUGUUGGAGUCCCACAGAGACCGGGAGAUGGUCCAUUUAAAGCUUCCAGGAGACUGCCAAUUAACUGAAUUCAUGAUGUGGCUGGUUAAACUGGUUUUGUGUGCAAUUUAUAUGGAACUGAUAGUCUUGAUUCAGAAACAACC